Molecule: ribosomal RNA, 446 nt
Filed under: uncultured bacterium
Lineage: Bacteria
Description: partial 16S ribosomal RNA
Rfam family: Bacterial small subunit ribosomal RNA
Source: RNAcentral
CCUACGGGAGGCAGCAGUCGAGAAUCAUUCACAAUGGGGGAAACCCUGAUGGUGCGACGCCGCGUGGGGGAAUGAAGGUCUUCGGAUUGUAAACCCCUGUCAUGUGGGAGCAAAUUAAAAAGAUCGUACCACACGAGGAAGAGACGGCUAACUCUGUGCCAGCAGCCGCGGUAAUACAGAGGUCUCAAGCGUUGUUCGGAAUCACUGGGCGUAAAGCGUGCGUAGGCUGUUUCGUAAGUCGUGUGUGAAAGGCGCGGGCUCAACCCGCGGACGGCACAUGAUACUGCGAGACUAGAGUAAUGGAGGGGGAACCGGAAUUCUCGGUGUAGCAGUGAAAUGCGUAGAUAGCGAGAGGAACACUCGUGGCGAAGGCGGGUUCCUGGACAUUAACUGACGCUGAGGCACGAAGGCCAGGGGAGCGAAAGGGAUUAGAUACCCUAGUAGUC